This is a long non-coding RNA of Branchiostoma floridae (Florida lancelet), 959 nucleotides long. RefSeq lists it as uncharacterized. The record is from RefSeq and is a predicted model, not a curated record. NCBI's taxonomy places the organism in Eukaryota, Metazoa, Chordata, Leptocardii, Amphioxiformes, Branchiostomatidae. The transcript is spliced from 3 exons.
GGAAUGGUGAACGAGGUCCCCGGCGGCCCCAUCGUUUCAGUCGUGAAUACGAAGACUAUUAUGACAAGAAGAAAAUCCCGAAGGUGCUGAGCCACGUGUUGGAAGUGUUCGACCUUCCCGAAGGCUUAAAGAGACACGAGACGGAGACCCUGUUCAAGGAUCUCACCAAGGUUGGCGGCAAGAUACGAUGGCUCCAAGAGUCGCGCUCCGGCGGUCGUCGUGGUGACGGCAAGAGCUCAGACUUGGUGUCGGACUAUAUCGUUCUCGCCGUCUUUACGACCAAGUCCGCCGCCCAGAACACGUUAAAGACAGUCAGCAGCGAACACUUCAAAUUGAGACCACCACAGAAACAGUACGAUAUCCGCCUCUUGGAACGCUCCAGUACCACAUAGAUAUGGUAUUUUUGUAGCCACACGUUGUGUAGUUCUAGCGUUCAGUCACGUGUCUGACUAGGUUGCCUCUCUCCUCAGUACUGUAGUGCUGCUUUCUACUCUACUCUGAUGUUCUCUCUGUUCGUUGGGUAAUAAACUAAUAAACAAGUUUCAUGCUGGGAGCCCACAGCCAUAACCCUCUAAGCCUCACCACGUAACGUUGUCGGUAAUAUGAUAUGUGAACGUGCACUGUUGUCGUAGUCUAGGAGAUGAACCUUUCAAUCUUGGGCCAGAGGUCAGAGUACACCAAGCUGCUGGAGUUGCACGGGGUUCCAUGAUGCACUGCACUGCUUACAGCGGCUGUGUGGUGCAUUCUGGGAUGUGGAACAUAUUAUGGAGUAGGAAGUUCUUCCUUCAGCCAAGGUGCCUUUCAGAAAUCUUAAGAAACGUCGUUCCUGCAACUUUUCUUUCAGAUUUUUGUACACAUCUCUGUUUGCUGUCUUAUGACUGUACUCCUAAUUGAUUUGCUCGUUAAGUUUCUACAAUCCUUCCACCAACCUGUCAUUAUGCUAGUUUGAAAGACGGUAU